This 71-nucleotide non-coding RNA is filed under the name unclassified sequences. RNAcentral's name for it is "skipping-rope RNA". It matches the Rfam family "skipping-rope RNA". From Rfam's summary of the family: Firmicutes, Fusobacteria, AlphaProteobacteria, Spirochaetes. Downstream gene The record is from Rfam by way of RNAcentral.
GAAAUUUGAGGACGGAACUGGCAGCCGUCGCCCAUGCUAGGAGAUGUGGGAAUGUCACCCCACCAAAUUUC